This 558-nucleotide ribosomal RNA is filed under the name uncultured Bacteroidota bacterium. RNAcentral's name for it is "bacterial SSU rRNA". It matches the Rfam family "Bacterial small subunit ribosomal RNA", at positions 867 to 1427 of the family's 1533-position model. Lineage: Bacteria; Pseudomonadati; Bacteroidota. The record is from RNAcentral.
AUCCACCUGGGGAGUACGAUCGCAAGAUUGAAACUCAAAGGAAUUGACGGGGGCCCGCACAAGCGGAGGAACAUGUGGUUUAAUUCGAUGAUACGCGAGGAACCUUACCUGGGCUUAAAUGUAGAACGACGGAUCGGGAAACUGAUCUUUCUUCGGACGGUCUGCAAGGUGCUGCAUGGCUGUCGUCAGCUCGUGCCGUGAGGUGUCGGGUUAAGUCCCAUAACAAGCGCAACCCUCAUCAUUAGUUGCCAGCGAGUAAUGUCGGGGACUCUAAUGAAACUGCCGGUGUAAACCGUGAGGAAGGUGGGGAUGACGUCAAGUCAGCACGGCCCUUAUGUCCAGGGCUACACACGUGUUACAAUGGUCGGUACAAAGGGCAGCUACCUGGUGACAGGAUGCUAAUCUCUAAAGCCGAUCUCAGUUCGGAUCGAAGUCUGCAACUCGACUUCGUGAAGCUGGAUUCGCUAGUAAUCGCGCAUCAGCCAUGGCGCGGUGAAUACGUUCCCGGGCCUUGUACACACCGCCCGUCAAGCCAUGGAAGCUGGGGGUACCUGAAGU